This 530-nucleotide non-coding RNA is filed under the name Gasterosteus aculeatus (three-spined stickleback). RNAcentral's name for it is "Eukaryotic large subunit ribosomal RNA". It matches the Rfam family "Eukaryotic large subunit ribosomal RNA", at positions 2879 to 3401 of the family's 3401-position model. The record is from Rfam by way of RNAcentral. Lineage: Eukaryota; Metazoa; Chordata; Actinopteri; Perciformes; Gasterosteidae.
CGAAGUCGGCUCUUCCUAUCAUUUGGAAGCAAAAUUCACCUAGCGUCGAAUGGUCACCAAUAUUAGGGAACGUGAGCUGGGUUUAGACCGUCGUGGAACAGGUUAGUUUCACCUACUGGAGAAGGUGUUGUGCAAGAUAGUAUCCUGCUCAGUACGAGAGAAACCGCAGGUUCAGACAUUUGGUGUGUGUGCUUGGCUGAGGAGCCAAUGGUGCGAAGCUACCAUCUGUGAGGAUUAUGACUGAACGCCUCUAAGUCAGAAUCCCCCCUAGACGUGACGAUACCAUAGCGCCGCGGACCUCCGGUUGGCCACGGAUAGCCGGCUUCGGCCGGUGGGCAGGGCCGCUCGAGACGGGGCCGGGGCGCGGCCGGACGAUGGCCGCCCCUCUCCCACCUCGCACCGCAUGUUUGUGGAGAAUCCGGUGCUAAAUCACUUGCAGACGACCUGAUUCUGGGUCAGGGUGUCGUGAGUAGCAGAGCAGCUCCCUCGCUGCGAUCUACUGAAAGUCAGCCCUCGAUCCAAGCUUUUGU